GAUGAACGCUGGCGGCGUGCCUAAUACAUGCAAGUCGAGCGAACAGACGAGGAGCUUGCUCCUUCGACGUUAGCGGCGGACGGGUGAGUAACACGUAGGUAACCUACCUAUAAGACUGGGAUAACUUCGGGAAACCGGAGCUAAUACCGGAUAAUAUUUCGAACCGCAUUGUUCGAUAGUGAAAGAUGGCUUUGCUAUCACUUAUAGAUGGACCUGCGCCGUAUUAGCUAGUUGGUAAGGUAACGGCUUACCAAGGCAACGAUACGUAGCCGACCUGAGAGGGUGAUCGGCCACACUGGAACUGAGACACGGUCCAGACUCCUACGGGAGGCAGCAGUAGUGAAUCUUCCGCAAUGGGCGAAAGCCUGACGGAGCAACGCCGCGUGAGUGAUGAAGGUCUUCGGAUCGUAAAACUCUGUUAUUAGGGAAGAACAAACGUGUAAGUAACUGUGCACGUCUUGACGGUACCUAAUCAGAAAGCCACGGCUAACUACGUG
Molecule: ribosomal RNA, 497 nt
Filed under: uncultured bacterium
Lineage: Bacteria
Description: partial 16S ribosomal RNA
Rfam family: Bacterial small subunit ribosomal RNA
Source: RNAcentral